CCUACGGGAGGCAGCAGUGGGGAAUAUUGGACAAUGGGCGAAAGCCUGAUCCAGCCAUGCCGCGUGUGUGAAGAAGGUCUUCGGAUUGUAAAGCACUUUAAGUUGGGAGGAAGGGUUGUAGAUUAAUACUCUGCAACUUUUGACGUUACCGACAGAAUAAGCACUGGCUAACUCGUGUGCCAGCAGCCGCGGUAAUACAGAGGGUGCAAGCGUUAAUCGGAAUUACUGGGCGUAAAAGCGCGCGUAGGUGGUUUGUUAAGUUGGAUGUGAAAUCCCCGGGCUCAACCUGGGAACUGCAUUCAAAACUGACUGACUAGAGUAUGGUAGAGGGUGGUGGAAUUUCCUGUGUAGCGGUGAAAUGCGUAGAUAUAGGAAGGAACACCAGUGGCGAAGGCGACCACCUGGACUAAUACUGACACUGAGGUGCGAAAGCGUGGGGAGCAAAACAGGAUUAGAUACCCUGGUAGUCCACGCCGUAAACGAUGUCAACUAGCCGUUGGAAGCCUUGNGNUUAGUGNGCNNCACGCAUAGUUAGUACGCCGNGGAGUACGCGCGAGUAAACGUACAAGAGAGUAGAGNGNGAGAGAGACGACGACGACGACGAGGGAGGAGG
RNAcentral lists this ribosomal RNA (613 nucleotides) under uncultured bacterium. Its description in RNAcentral is "bacterial SSU rRNA". The stretch from base 1 to 541 matches the Rfam family "Bacterial small subunit ribosomal RNA", at positions 338 to 873 of the family's 1533-position model. The record is from RNAcentral.